Molecule: ribosomal RNA, 468 nt
Filed under: uncultured bacterium
Lineage: Bacteria
Description: partial 16S ribosomal RNA
Rfam family: Bacterial small subunit ribosomal RNA
Source: RNAcentral
GACGAACGCUGGCGGCGUGCUUAACACAUGCAAGUCGAACGGAAAGGCCCUGCUUUUGUGGGGUGCUCGAGUGGCGAACGGGUGAGUAACACGUGAGUAACCUGCCCUUGACUUUGGGAUAACUUCAGGAAACUGGGGCUAAUACCGGAUAGGAGCUCCUGCUGCAUGGUGGGGGUUGGAAAGUUUCGGCGGUUGGGGAUGGACUCGCGGCUUAUCAGCUUGUUGGUGGGGUAGUGGCUUACCAAGGCUUUGACGGGUAGCCGGCCUGAGAGGGUGACCGGCAACAUUGGGACUGAGAUACGGCCCAGACUCCUACGGGAGGCAGAAGUGGGGAAUAUUGCACAAUGGGCGGAAGCCUGAUGCAGCAACGCCGCGUGCGGGAUGACGGCCUUCGGGUUGUAAACCGCUUUCGCCUGUGUCGAAGCGUGAGUGACGGUAAUGGGUAAAGAAGCACCGGCUAACUACGUG